This 260-nucleotide small nuclear RNA is filed under the name Erinaceus europaeus (western European hedgehog). RNAcentral's name for it is "7SK RNA". It matches the Rfam family "7SK RNA". Rfam says of the family: 7SK was discovered as an abundant small nuclear RNA in the mid-70s but a possible function has only recently been suggested. Two independent studies have found that 7SK RNA binds the CDK9/cyclin T complex (known as elongation factor P-TEFb). The record is from Rfam by way of RNAcentral. Lineage: Eukaryota; Metazoa; Chordata; Mammalia; Eulipotyphla; Erinaceidae.
AGAUGUGAGGGUGAUCUGGCUGCAACAUCUGUCACCCCAGGGUUGAUUCAGCUGAUCUGGCUGGCUAGGUGGGUGUCCCCUUCCUCCCUCACCGCUGCAUGUGCGUCCCUCCUGAAGCUGCACACUCAGUUGAUGGACCUGUCUUCAGUCAAGGGUAUAUGAGUAGCUAUGCUCCCCUGCUGGAACCUCCAAACAAGCUCUAAAAGUCCCAGAUUCAAUCCCCUGCACUACCAUAAACCAGAGCUAACCAGUGCUCUGUU